GACGAACGCUGGCGGCGUGCUUAACACAUGCAAGUCACGGGGGCUCGGGGGCAACUCCGAGCAACCGGCGAACGGGUGCGUAACACGUGAACAACCUGCCCUCGUGUGGGGGAUAGCCGGGCUAACGCCCGGGUAAUACCGCAUACGUUCCUCUGGAGGAGUCUCUGGGGGAGGAAAGCUCCGGCGCACGGGGAGGGGUUCGCGGCCUAUCAGCUUGUUGGCGGGGUAACGGCCCACCAAGGCGACGACGGGUAGCNGGUCUGAGAGGAUGGCCAGCCACAUUGGGACUGAGAGACGGCCCAGACUCCUACGGGAGGCAGCAGUGGGGAAUCUUGCGCAAUGGCCGAAAGGCUGACGCAGCGACGCCGCGUGUGGGA
RNAcentral lists this ribosomal RNA (377 nucleotides) under uncultured bacterium. Its description in RNAcentral is "bacterial SSU rRNA". It matches the Rfam family "Bacterial small subunit ribosomal RNA", at positions 28 to 408 of the family's 1533-position model. The record is from RNAcentral.